AUCCCACAGACUCACGAAGAAGCCAAAAGAAAAAGGGUUUCGAAUGGAUGGAACUGCAAUUCGUAGGAAGGGCACACGGUCCCCCAAGUCCAGCAUCGUCCCAGAAGAAGGGUAACUACCGCGUAGAUGCGCACGAACAUGGCGUGCUAACUAGUGUCUGGUCCAUACGCAGUUCAUCUAACCUACUGUACAUUUGACUGCUUCGACGUGGCUCCCGCCAAACGAAGGAGACCGGACAUCCAGUCAACGCUUCUCCUCGUUCCCACCACCAGAACCAAAUCCUUACCCGUCUCGUCUCCGCAUGCACGACGACCUUUCCCUCCGCAGGAUUCUUGGACAAACUAAACAACAAUAAUAAUGACAAUAAGCAUGAUUCUGAAGGAGGGGACACUUCCAGUUUCACUCUUUCGCAGCCCUGCCCUUUGGUUUAGUUUACCAAUCGGUUUUCCCAAGGAACUUUGCUUGUUCACCCAUUUUACUGUCGCCUCUUUCGGAAACUAACUCGGAGGCUAUAUAUAUAUAAACCUUCGUGCGAAUUUGCAUUUUGAAAAUGAAUAAUGAAUUAAAAGCGAACCCAUAGUUUGUAUCGUAUUUUGAAGCCUUCUCUGGCGACCUGACUAUUUCAUUUGUUAAAACUAGAAUUCGCUGUAUAUUCAAGUGGGAGGUGCUCGUAGCAAAAGAGGAGGAGGCGGAGGAGAAGCGCGCACAGAGAUACGAACUGUCGCAUUCAUCUGGGCGGGUACAUUAGUUGACGAAACCUACACAGCCGUCGCAUUCUUGCAAACUGACAUCCGUCAGGAUGGAAUCGCGAGUAGGAAUACUGCUGGAUUUAAUGCGA
RNAcentral lists this small RNA (838 nucleotides) under Histoplasma capsulatum. RNAcentral's name for it is "hypothetical RNA". Lineage: Eukaryota; Fungi; Ascomycota; Eurotiomycetes; Onygenales; Ajellomycetaceae. The record is from RNAcentral. RNAcentral also lists the same sequence under 1 other name.